RNAcentral lists this long non-coding RNA (618 nucleotides) under Trifolium pratense (red clover). RNAcentral's name for it is "long non-coding RNA (TPRA_LNC006569)". The record is from RNAcentral. Lineage: Eukaryota; Viridiplantae; Streptophyta; Magnoliopsida; Fabales; Fabaceae.
CAAACCCUAAUUUGUAAACCUGACAAACAAUAAAACAUUCCAAAGCAAGAAAAAUGAUAUGAUUUGAAACUAAAAUUUGAUGAAGAAACAUGAAAAUAAUUAUCAUUAGCAAAACAAUUAAGUUCUUACCCCUGUUUGUCUGACUUUUUAGAGCAGUAAAGCAUCCAACUUUCGAAAUCAACAAAAAUCUCUGCAUUUAAAAAAACAACAAAAUCAUCAUGAUGAACAAUAAAACCCAAUGGCAACAGAAAGAGGAUUAUAAAGAGGAAUGAAAAGAAAAUUAGGGAUUUGGAAAAAAGAACAAAACUGAAAUUACCUGCUGGAUGAGUCUUGAAACAUGUUGGAGGAUUCGAUUGAGAAGAUUGAGAAGAAAACCUAAUUUGCAAACAUAGACAAAAAAGAAAUAGGCCACAUAAAAAUCAGAUGAUGAAAUUAAAUCCAUAAAACAACAGAUAGAUGGAGAAGCAAUUUGAAACCUUUGGAGAUUAUGGCUUGUGCCAUCCAAGAUGGUUGAUUCAUGGAGAGAGACGAAGUUCAAAGGAAUCAACAAAAAAUGGAGAGAGAUGAGUAAGAAAGUGAGUUUAGAUAUUGAAAAAGAGUGGGAUAAAUUGAAUUUUG